RNAcentral lists this ribosomal RNA (423 nucleotides) under uncultured bacterium. Its description in RNAcentral is "bacterial SSU rRNA". It matches the Rfam family "Bacterial small subunit ribosomal RNA", at positions 358 to 773 of the family's 1533-position model. The record is from RNAcentral.
GGAAUAUUGGACAAUGGGCGGAAGCCUGAUCUAGCAAUGCCGCGUGUGUGAAGAAGGCCUGAGGGUCGUAAAGCACUUUUGUUAGGGAGGAAGGAGUAUGCAUUAAUACUGCAUACAACAGACGUUACCUAAAGAAUAAGCACCGGCUAACUCUGUGCCAGCAGCCGCGGUAAUACAGAGGGUGCAAGCGUUAAUCGGAAUUACUGGGCGUAAAGGGUGCGUAGGUGGAUACGUAAGUCAGAUGUGAAAUCCCCGGGCUUAACCUGGGAACUGCAUAUGAUACUGCGAAUCUAGAGUAUGGUAGAGGUAAGUGGAAUUUCCGGUGUAGCGGUGAAAUGCGUAGAUAUCGGAAGGAACAUCAGUGGCGAAGGCGACUUACUGGACUGAUACUGACACUGAGGCACGAAAGCGUGGGGAGCAAAC